This 498-nucleotide ribosomal RNA is filed under the name uncultured bacterium. RNAcentral's name for it is "bacterial SSU rRNA". It matches the Rfam family "Bacterial small subunit ribosomal RNA", at positions 30 to 520 of the family's 1533-position model. The record is from RNAcentral.
AUUGAACGCUGGCGGCAGGCCUAACACAUGCAAGUCGAGCGGUAGAGAGAAGCUUGCUUCUCUUGAGAGCGGCGGACGGGUGAGUAAUGCCUAGGAAUCUGCCUGGUAGUGGGGGAUAACGUUCGGAAACGGACGCUAAUACCGCAUACGUCCUACGGGAGAAAGCAGGGGACCUUCGGGGCCUUGCGCUAUCAGAUGAGCCUAGGUCGGAUUAGCUAGUUGGUGAGGUAAUGGCUCACCAAGGCGACGAUCCGUAACUGGUCUGAGAGGAUGAUCAGUCACACUGGAACUGAGACACGGUCCAGACUCCUACGGGAGGCAGCAGUGGGGAAUAUUGGACAAUGGGCGAAAGCCUGAUCCAGCCAUGCCGCGUGUGUGAAGAAGGUCUUCGGAUUGUAAAGCACUUUAAGUUGGGAGGAAGGGCAGUUACCUAAUACGUGAUUGUUUGACGUUACCGACAGAAUAAGCACCGGCUAACUCUGUGCCAGCAGCCGACGG